Molecule: ribosomal RNA, 485 nt
Filed under: uncultured bacterium
Lineage: Bacteria
Description: partial 16S ribosomal RNA
Rfam family: Bacterial small subunit ribosomal RNA
Source: RNAcentral
GAUGAACGCUGGCGGCGUGCUUAACACAUGCAAGUCGAACGAGAACGGAAUAUAGCUUGCUAUAUUUGUCAGCUAAGUGGCGCACGGGUGAGUAAUGUAUAGAUAACCUGCCCUUAAGAAAGGAAUAACAGUUGGAAACGACUGCUAAUGCCCUAUAUGCCUUUAAUACAUAAGUAUGCAAGGGAAACGCUUUAGUGCUCAAGGAUGGGUCUGUAUGGUAUCAGCUUGUUGGUGAGGUAAUGGCUCACCAAGGCUAUGACGCCUAACUGGUUUGAGAGGAUGAUCAGUCACACUGGAACUGAGACACGGUCCAGACUCCUACGGGAGGCAGCAGUGGGGAAUAUUGCACAAUGGACGAAAGUCUGAUGCAGCAACGCCGCGUGGAGGAUGACACAUUUCGGUGCGUAAACUCCUUUUAUAUAGGAAGAUAAUGACGGUACUAUAUGAAUAAGCACCGGCUAACUCCGUGCCAGCCGCCGCAGUAA